AUGCACUGGUUUGCAUGGUGGAAAUUAUGUGUUCCAAAGAAGAAGGGUGGCAUGAGGUUUAGGGACCUUCACAUCUUUAAUCUUGCUAUGUUAACAAAGCAGUGUUGACGACUUCUCCAAAAUCCGGAUUCUUUGUGUGCAUGUGUUUUGGGUGCUAAGUAUUAUCCAAAUGGUGAUAUUCUGAAGGCAGGGCCCAAAAAGGGUUCAUCGUUCACUUGGCAAAGCAUUGUUGCAGGUAUACAAACAUUC
RNAcentral lists this ribosomal RNA (249 nucleotides) under Triticum aestivum (bread wheat). Its description in RNAcentral is "partial small subunit ribosomal RNA". The record is from RNAcentral. Lineage: Eukaryota; Viridiplantae; Streptophyta; Magnoliopsida; Poales; Poaceae.